This 460-nucleotide ribosomal RNA is filed under the name uncultured bacterium. RNAcentral's name for it is "partial 16S ribosomal RNA". It matches the Rfam family "Bacterial small subunit ribosomal RNA", at positions 338 to 795 of the family's 1533-position model. The record is from RNAcentral.
CCUACGGGAGGCUGCAGUGAGGAAUAUUGGUCAAUGGGCGCGAGCCUGAACCAGCCAAGUAGCGUGAAGGAUGACUGCCCUACGGGUUGUAAACUUCUUUUAUAAAGGAAUAAAGUGAGGCACGUGUGCCUUUUUGUAUUUACUUUAUGAAUAAGGAUCGGCUAACUCCGUUCCAGCAGCCGCGGUAAUACGGAGGGUCCGAGCGUUAUCCGGAUUUAUUUGGUUUAAAGGGAGCGUAGGUGGGUUGUUAAGUCAGUUGUGAAAGUUUGCGGCUCAACCGUAAAAUUGCAAUUGAUACUGGCAGUCUUGAGGACAGUUGAGGUAGGCGGAAUUCGUGGUGUAGCGGUGAAAUGCUUAGAUAUCACGAAGAACUCCGAUUGCGAAGGCAGCUUACUAAACUGCCACUGACAUUGAUGCUCGAAAGUGUGGGUAUCAAACAGGAUUAGAUACCCGAGUAGUC